UGAGGAAUAUUGGUCAAUGGGCGUAAGCCUGAACCAGCCAAGUCGCGUGCAGGAAGACGGCUCUAUGAGUUGUAAACUGCUUUUGUACGAGGGUAAACGCAGAUACGCGUAUCUGUCUGAAAGUAUCGUACGAAUAAGGAUCGGCUAACUCCGUGCCAGCAGCCGCGGUAAUACGGAGGAUUCAAGCGUUAUCCGGAUUUAUUGGGUUUAAAGGGUGCGUAGGCGGUCGGAUAAGUUAGAGGUGAAAUCCCGAGGCUCAACUUCGGAAUUGCCUCUGAUACUGUUCGGCUAGAGAGUAGUUGCGGUAGGCGGAAUGUAUGGUGUAGCGGUGAAAUGCUUAGAGAUCAUACAGAACACCGAUUGCGAAGGCAGCUUACCAAGCUACUUCUGACGUUGAGGCACGAAAGCGUGGGGGGCAAACAGG
This 424-nucleotide ribosomal RNA is filed under the name uncultured bacterium. Its description in RNAcentral is "bacterial SSU rRNA". It matches the Rfam family "Bacterial small subunit ribosomal RNA", at positions 355 to 776 of the family's 1533-position model. The record is from RNAcentral.